Molecule: small RNA, 29 nt
Filed under: Bombyx mori (domestic silkworm)
Lineage: Eukaryota; Metazoa; Arthropoda; Insecta; Lepidoptera; Bombycidae
Description: ovarian small RNA-35102
Source: RNAcentral
UGGUAGCUUCUCUUCUUCUAGGUAGGUUA